UACGUAGGGUGCAAGCGUUAAUCGGAAUUACUGGGCGUAAAGCGUGCGCAGGCGGCUUUGCAAGUCAGAUGUGAAAUCCCCGGGCUUAACCUGGGAACUGCAUUUGUGACUGCAUGGCUAGAGUGCGGCAGAGGGGGAUGGAAUUCCGCGUGUAGCAGUGAAAUGCGUAGAUAUGCGGAGGAACACCGAUGGCGAAGGCAAUCCCCUGGGCCUGCACUGACGCUCAUGCACGAAAGCGUGGGGAGCAAACAGG
Molecule: ribosomal RNA, 253 nt
Filed under: uncultured bacterium
Lineage: Bacteria
Description: partial 16S ribosomal RNA
Rfam family: Bacterial small subunit ribosomal RNA
Source: RNAcentral